Gopherus evgoodei (Goodes thornscrub tortoise) is the source of this 97-nucleotide long non-coding RNA. RefSeq lists it as uncharacterized. The transcript has 3 exons. Lineage: Eukaryota; Metazoa; Chordata; Testudines; Testudinidae. The record is from RefSeq and is a predicted model, not a curated record.
AGGAUCACAAAUAAAGUACGAACACUACACCUCUACCCAUUACAACACUACCCGAUAUAACAUAAAUUUACAUAUAACACGGUAAGGCAGUGCUCCG